AUUGCUUCUUGGCCUUUUGGCUAAGAUCAAGGGUAGUAUCUUUUCCUCUUUCACAACUCACAUCUCAGUUAAGAGCACCUUAU
This is a small nuclear RNA of Heterocephalus glaber (naked mole-rat), 83 nucleotides long. Its record names the gene U2. It matches the Rfam family "U2 spliceosomal RNA". Rfam says of the family: U2 is a small nuclear RNA (snRNA) component of the spliceosome (involved in pre-mRNA splicing). Complementary binding between U2 snRNA (in an area lying towards the 5' end but 3' to hairpin I) and the branchpoint sequence (BPS) of the intron results the bulging out of an unpaired adenosine, on the BPS, which initiates a nucleophilic attack at the intronic 5' splice site, thus starting the first of two transesterification reactions that mediate splicing. The record is from Ensembl. NCBI's taxonomy places the organism in Eukaryota, Metazoa, Chordata, Mammalia, Rodentia, Bathyergidae.